CAGUCGCCACGGGAAUACGAAGGGGGCUAGCGUUGCUCGGAAUGACUGGGCGUAAAGGGCGCGUAGGCGGUUCGGAUAGUCAGAUGUGAAAUUCCUGGGCUUAACCUGGGGACUGCGCUUAAUACAGGCAGUCUAGAGUGAGGAAGAGGGUUGUGGAAUUCCCAGUGUAGAGGUGAAAUUCGUAGAUAUUGGGAAGAACACCGGUGGCGAAGGCGGCAACCUGGUCCUUGACUGACGCUGAGGUGCGAAAGCGUGGGGAGCAAACAGGAUUAGAUACCCCAGUAGUCCCUGUCUCUUAUAC
This 301-nucleotide ribosomal RNA is filed under the name uncultured bacterium. RNAcentral's name for it is "partial 16S ribosomal RNA". It matches the Rfam family "Bacterial small subunit ribosomal RNA", at positions 509 to 807 of the family's 1533-position model. The record is from RNAcentral.